AGUGAACGCUGGCGGGAGGAAGAACACAUGCAAGUCGAACGGCAGCACAGUAAGAGCUUGCUCUUACGGGUGGCGAGUGGCGGACGGGUGAGGAAUACAUCGGAAUCUACUUUUUCGUGGGGGAUAACGUAGGGAAACUUACGCUAAUACCGCAUACGACCUACGGGUGAAAGCAGGGGAUCUUCGGACCUUGCGCGAUUGAAUGAGCCGAUGUCGGAUUAGCUAGUUGGCGGGGUAAAGGCCCACCAAGGCGACGAUCCGUAGCUGGUCUGAGAGGAUGAUCAGCCACACUGGAACUGAGACACGGUCCAGACUCCUACGGGAGGCAGCAGUGGGGAAUAUUGGACAAUGGGCGCAAGCCUGAUCCAGCCAUACCGCGUGGGUGAAGAAGGACUUCGGGUUGUAAAGCCCUUUUGUUGGGAAAGAAAAGCAGCAGGUUAAUACCCCGCUGUUCUGACGGUACCCAAAGAAUAAGCACCGGCUAACUUCGUG
RNAcentral lists this ribosomal RNA (492 nucleotides) under uncultured bacterium. RNAcentral's name for it is "partial 16S ribosomal RNA". It matches the Rfam family "Bacterial small subunit ribosomal RNA", at positions 29 to 507 of the family's 1533-position model. The record is from RNAcentral.